RNAcentral lists this ribosomal RNA (723 nucleotides) under bacterium AV-V-13. Its description in RNAcentral is "bacterial SSU rRNA". It matches the Rfam family "Bacterial small subunit ribosomal RNA", at positions 49 to 751 of the family's 1533-position model. The record is from RNAcentral.
CUACACAUGCAAGUCGAGCGGAAACGACACUAACAAUCCUUCGGGUGCGUUAAUGGGCGUCGAGCGGCGGACGGGUGAGUAAUGCCUAGGAAAUUGCCUUGAUGUGGGGGAUAACCAUUGGAAACGAUGGCUAAUACCGCAUGAUGCCUACGGGCCAAAGAGGGGGACCUUCGGGCCUCUCGCGUCAAGAUAUGCCUAGGUGGGAUUAGCUAGUUGGUGAGGUAAUGGCUCACCAAGGCGACGAUCCCUAGCUGGUCUGAGAGGAUGAUCAGCCACACUGGAACUGAGACACGGUCCAGACUCCUACGGGAGGCAGCAGUGGGGAAUAUUGCACAAUGGGCGAAAGCCUGAUGCAGCCAUGCCGCGUGUAUGAAGAAGGCCUUCGGGUUGUAAAGUACUUUCAGUUGUGAGGAAGGGUGUGUAGUUAAUAGCUGCGCAUCUUGACGUUAGCAACAGAAGAAGCACCGGCUAACUCCGUGCCAGCAGCCGCGGUAAUACGGAGGGUGCGAGCGUUAAUCGGAAUUACUGGGCGUAAAGCGCAUGCAGGUGGUUCAUUAAGUCAGAUGUGAAAGCCCGGGGCUCAACCUCGGAACUGCAUUUGAAACUGGUGAACUAGAGUGCUGUAGAGGGGGGUAGAAUUUCAGGUGUAGCGGUGAAAUGCGUAGAGAUCUGAAGGAAUACCAGUGGCGAAGGCGGCCCCCUGGACAGACACUGACACUCAGA